Long non-coding RNA from Quercus robur (English oak), 622 nucleotides. RefSeq lists it as uncharacterized. The record is from RefSeq and is a predicted model, not a curated record. The transcript is spliced from 3 exons. Lineage: Eukaryota; Viridiplantae; Streptophyta; Magnoliopsida; Fagales; Fagaceae.
UCUACUCUCCUUAUCUUCUUUUGCUGCCCCGAUAGUCUUCUCCCUUAUCUUUCUCUUGGCUGUACCAGAAAGUCCAGCCCCUCUUUCUCUACUCCUUUUUCCUUGUUCUUGUUCCUUCUUCUCUCUUUGCUCUUACAUGGCAACACCUUUCCCUUACUCCCUCACUGAAAAUCAUAGAUAUCUCUCUAAGAAGAAAUUAAGAGCCUAACACUAAGAUUUCAUCUUCAAAGUGUGUGGGUAGCAAGAAUGAGAAUAUGGACACUUGAGCUCCUUUUGUACAAUCUCUCGCGUCUUCUGUUUUUAGGUUCUUCCUGGAAGUAGCGAGAGUAUUAGAGGUGGCAAAGAUUCUGUGAUUCUCAUUUGUUAGAAUGUAGAGUAUUGUUGUAUAGCAGUUUAGCUCUUUUGUUGUAUAGGAGAAAUCAAGAUGUACUUGAUCCUUGAGCACAGAUGUAAUUUAGUAUCUUAGUUUGUUUGGAACCCUAGUUGUAUGUCUCUGGGGUUAGGUUUGUAAUAAGAGUUUUGCUAAACGUUUAGCUAUGUAAUAUUUACACGGAUACCUUAAGUUUAAGCCAGGUGGUAAUUUUCCAAGUUCAAAAGAAAUGAAAUUUCAAAGUUUCCAUCA